This 497-nucleotide ribosomal RNA is filed under the name uncultured bacterium. RNAcentral describes it as "partial 16S ribosomal RNA". It matches the Rfam family "Bacterial small subunit ribosomal RNA", at positions 28 to 507 of the family's 1533-position model. The record is from RNAcentral.
GAUGAACGCUGGCGGCGUGCCUAAUACAUGCAAGUCGAGCGAACGGACGAGAAGCUUGCUUCUCUGAUGUUAGCGGCGGACGGGUGAGUAACACGUGGAUAACCUACCUAUAAGACUGGGAUAACUUCGGGAAACCGGAGCUAAUACCGGAUAAUAUUUUGAACCGCAUGGUUCAAAAGUGAAAGACGGUCUUGCUGUCACUUAUAGAUGGAUCCGCGCUGCAUUAGCUAGUUGGUAAGGUAACGGCUUACCAAGGCAACGAUGCAUAGCCGACCUGAGAGGGUGAUCGGCCACACUGGAACUGAGACACGGUCCAGACUCCUACGGGAGGCAGCAGUAGGGAAUCUUCCGCAAUGGGCGAAAGCCUGACGGAGCAACGCCGCGUGAGUGAUGAAGGUCUUCGGAUCGUAAAACUCUGUUAGUAGGGAAGAACAGAUGUGUAAGUAACUGUGCACAUCUUGACGGUACCUAAUCAGAAAGCCACGGCUAACUACGUG